This 220-nucleotide ribosomal RNA is filed under the name uncultured bacterium. Its description in RNAcentral is "partial 16S ribosomal RNA". It matches the Rfam family "Bacterial small subunit ribosomal RNA", at positions 57 to 305 of the family's 1533-position model. The record is from RNAcentral.
GCAAGUCGAGCGCACCCUUCGGGGCGAGCGGCGGACGGGUUAGUAACGCGUGGGAACAUACCUUUCUCUACGGAAUAGCCAUUGGAAACGAUGAGUAAUACCGUAUACGCCCUUCGGGGGAAAGAUUUAUCGGAGAAAGAUUGGCCCGCGCUAGAUUAGAUAGUUGGUGGGGUAAUGGCCUACCAAGUCUACGAUCUAUAGCUGGUCUGAGAGGAUGGAC